CCCUAUUGAACUAUGUUAGCUCAGUCAGUAGAGCAUGAGACUCUUAAUCUCAGGUUCGUGACUUCGAGCCCAGAGUUGGGGA
Molecule: non-coding RNA, 82 nt
Organism: Podarcis lilfordi (Lilford's wall lizard)
Lineage: Eukaryota; Metazoa; Chordata; Lepidosauria; Squamata; Lacertidae
Source: the annotation of a GenBank genome assembly